GACGAACGCUGGCGGCGUGCUUAAUACAUGCAAGUGGAGCGACCAACCAGGGCUUGCCCUGGGGCAGCGCUGCGAACGGGUGAGUAACAAGUGGGUAAAGUGCCCCGAUGACUGGGAGAAACCGGGGAAACACGGGCGAAUACCGGAUGUGCCACCUCAUAACAGUGAGGUUUGUAUAGGAAGCUACGGCCUCCGCCUCGGGAAUGGCCCGCGGCGCAUUAGCUUGUUGGUUAGGUAACGGCUCACCAAGGCUGCGAUGGGUAGCUGGUCUGAGAGGACGAUCGGCCACGCUGGAACUGAGACACGGCCCAGACUCCUACGGGAGGCAGCAGUGGGGAAUCUUGCGCAAUGCGCGAAAGCUUGACGGAGCAACGCCGCGUGGGGGAAGACGGUCUUCGGGUUGUAAACCCCUUUCAGUUGGGACGAAGGUCGGGCGGUUAACAGCCGUACCGGCUGACGGUACCUUCACAGAAAGCCCCGGCUAACUACGUG
This 492-nucleotide ribosomal RNA is filed under the name uncultured bacterium. RNAcentral's name for it is "partial 16S ribosomal RNA". It matches the Rfam family "Bacterial small subunit ribosomal RNA", at positions 28 to 507 of the family's 1533-position model. The record is from RNAcentral.